AGAGUUUGAUCAUGGCUCAGAUUGAACGCUGGCGGCAGGCCUAACACAUGCGAGUCGAACGGUAACAGGAAACAGCUUGCUGUUUCGCUGACGAGUGGCGGACGGGUGAGUAAUGUCUGGGAAACUGCCUGAUGGAGGGGGAUAACUACUGGAAACGGUAGCUAAUACCGCAUAACGUCGCAAGACCAAAGAGGGGGACCUUCGGGCCUCUUGCCAUCAGAUGUGCCCAGAUGGGAUUAGCUAGUAGGUGGGGUAACGGCUCACCUAGGCGACGAUCCCUAGCUGGUCUGAGAGGAUGACCAGCCACACUGGAACUGAGACACGGUCCAGACUCCUACGGGAGGCAGCAGUGGGGAAUAUUGCACAAUGGGCGCAAGCCUGAUGCAGCCAUGCCGCGUGUAUGAAGAAGGCCUUCGGGUUGUAAAGUACUUUCAGCGGGGAGGAAGGGAGUAAAGUUAAUACCUUUGCUCAUUGACGUUACCCGCAGAAGAAGCACCGGCUAACUCCGUGCCAGCGGCCGCGGUAAUACGGAGGGUGCAAGCGUUAAUCGGAAUUACUGGGCGUAAAGCGCACGCAGGCGGUUUGUUAAGUCAGAUGUGAAAUCCCCGGGCUCAACCUGGGAACUGCAUCUGAUACUGGCAAGCUUGAGUCUCGUAGAGGGGGGUAGAAUUCCAGGUGUAGCGGUGAAAUGCGUAGAGAUCUGGAGGAAUACCGGUGGCGAAGGCGGCCCCCUGGACGAAGACUGACGCUCAGGUGCGAAAGCGUGGGGAGCAAACAGGAUUAGAUACCCUGGUAGUCCACGCCGUAAACGAUGUCGACUUGGAGGUUGUGCCCUUGAGGCGUGGCUUCCGGAGCUAACGCGUUAAGUCGACCGCCUGGGGAGUACGGCCGCAAGGUUAAAACUCAAAUGAAUUGACGGGGGCCCGCACAAGCGGUGGAGCAUGUGGUUUAAUUCGAUGCAACGCGAAGAACCUUACCUGGUCUUGACAUCCACGGAAGUUUUCAGAGAUGAGAAUGUGCCUUCGGGAACCGUGAGACAGGUGCUGCAUGGCUGUCGUCAGCUCGUGUUGUGAAAUGUUGGGUUAAGUCCCGCAACGAGCGCAACCCUUAUCCUUUGUUGCCAGCGGUCCGGCCGGGAACUCAAAGGAGACUGCCAGUGAUAAACUGGAGGAAGGUGGGGAUGACGUCAAGUCAUCAUGGCCCUUACGACCAGGGCUACACACGUGCUACAAUGGCGCAUACAAAGAGAAGCGACCUCGCGAGAGCAAGCGGACCUCAUAAAGUGCGUCGUAGUCCGGAUUGGAGUCUGCAACUCGACUUCAUGAAGUCGGAAUCGCUAGUAAUCGUGGAUCAGAAUGCCACGGUGAAUACGUUCCCGGGCCUUGUACACACCGCCCGUCACACCAUGGGAGUGGGUUGCAAAAGAAGUAGGUAGCUUAACCUUCGGGAGGGCGCUUACCACUUUGUGAUUCAUGACUGGGGUGAAGUCGUAACAAGGUAACCGUAGGGGAACCUGCGGUUG
RNAcentral lists this ribosomal RNA (1522 nucleotides) under metagenome. RNAcentral's name for it is "bacterial SSU rRNA". It matches the Rfam family "Bacterial small subunit ribosomal RNA". The record is from RNAcentral.